GUCCUUUAAUGUGAGGUAACUUAGAGAUUAGUGCCACAAAUAAUAUACUAGAUUGCCUACUUACAACCAGAUGAGGAUGAUGGGCUCUGGUGUAGAACAGGCUCCCUGACGGCUGUUUGUAACUGUGGUCACAAAAGUCAAUGUUCUGGGGGAACGUGAAGCCUCUCUAUUUUUUAAGGGGGGCCCCCUUACACAGCUUGUGGUCUGGGCCCCAGGGCCUGGCUAUGAGUAUGCCCAUAAGUCCACCUACUUGUUCCACCCAUGAGUUUGCUCACAGGGAGUGGAGUGUGUAGGGGAUGUGUUAUUGUAGAGGAUCUAAAGUGUGUGCUUAUGGAAUGUAGUGUAUAGGGAUACCAGUUUGUGUGUAAGUGAUACAUUCACACAAUGCAUCUGUAUGUGUAAGGAAUGCAAGGUGUUUCUGUGUAAGUAAAGGAUGCAGUGUGUGUGUCUGUAAGGUGUGUAUUGCUGCAUUGUGUUUCUCUGUGUGUAACAGAGCAGUGUGUUUUUGUGUAUGUGCAAGGGAUGCAUUUUUUGUAUGUGUGUAAUGGAUGCAUUGUGUGUUUGUAUGUAUAGGGAAGGGUGUUCUGAAGAAGCCGCCCAGCCAAAACACGUCAUCAUGCUUUCAGACGCACGACAUCAGGACGCACUAAAGGUAGCUUGCAUCUCCUGGAAGAAAUAUACAGCGUUCCAGUUCCCAAAAGACCGCAAGUGCUAGCCAGCGUGUCAGGAGGGUCUGAGGACUGGUCUUACAGGGGAAGAGCUUGUGAUUUUUUUUUUUUUUUUUUAAGUUUUUUGCUGUUACCAAUAAAGGUUUGAAUUGUAUCCAGUUGCUUGUUCCAUCAUGGUCCUGCACCUUGAGAUAUCCGGGCUGUCAAAGUUAGAGCAGACCUUUACUGCUUCACGCUUGUGAGUUGAUUG
Non-coding RNA from Pelobates cultripes (western spadefoot toad), 918 nucleotides. Lineage: Eukaryota; Metazoa; Chordata; Amphibia; Anura; Pelobatidae. The record is from the annotation of a GenBank genome assembly.